Molecule: ribosomal RNA, 253 nt
Filed under: uncultured bacterium
Lineage: Bacteria
Description: partial 16S ribosomal RNA
Rfam family: Bacterial small subunit ribosomal RNA
Source: RNAcentral
UACGUAGGGGGCAAGCGUUGUCCGGAAUUAUUGGGCGUAAAGCGCGCGCAGGCGGCUUAUUAAGUCUGAUGUGAAAGCCCACGGCUCAACCGUGGAGGGCCACUGGAAACUGGUAGGCUUGAGUGCAGGAGAGGAGAGCGGAAUUCCCGGUGUAGCGGUGAAAUGCGUAGAUAUCAGGAGGAACACCGGUGGCGAAGGCGGGUCUCUGGGCCGAUACUGACGCUGAGGAGCGAAAGCGUGGGGAGCGAACAGG